RNAcentral lists this ribosomal RNA (306 nucleotides) under uncultured Pelotomaculum sp. RNAcentral's name for it is "bacterial SSU rRNA". It matches the Rfam family "Bacterial small subunit ribosomal RNA", at positions 1077 to 1382 of the family's 1533-position model. Lineage: Bacteria; Bacillati; Bacillota; Clostridia; Eubacteriales; Desulfotomaculaceae. The record is from RNAcentral.
UGGUUAAGUCCCGCAACGAGCGCAACCCCUACGUUUAGUUGCUAACGCGUGAAGGCGAGCACUCUAGACGAACUGCCGUUGACAAAACGGAGGAAGGUGGGGAUGACGUCAAAUCAUCAUGCCCCUUAUGUUCUGGGCUACACACGUGCUACAAUGGCCGGUACAGACGGACGCAAAGCCGCGAGGUGGAGCAAAUCCGAAAAAGCCGGUCUCAGUUCGGAUUGCAGGCUGCAAUUCGCCUGCAUGAAGUCGGAAUCGCUAGUAAUCGCAGGUCAGCAUACUGCGGUGAAUACGUUCCCGGGCCUU